GAUGAACGCUGGCGGCGUGCCUAAUACAUGCAAGUCGAGCGAACAGACGAGGAGCUUGCUCCUCUGACGUUAGCGGCGGACGGGUGAGUAACACGUGGAUAACCUACCUAUAAGACUGGGAUAACUUCGGGAAACCGGAGCUAAUACCGGAUAAUAUAUUGAACCGCAUGGUUCAAUAGUGAAAGACGGUUUUGCUGUCACUUAUAGAUGGAUCCGCGCCGCAUUAGAUAGUUGGUAAGGUAACGGCUUACCAAGGCAACGAUGCGUAGCCGACCUGAGAGGGUGAUCGGCCACACUGGAACUGAGACACGGUCCGGACUCCUACGGGAGGCAGCAGUAGGGAAUCUUCCGCAAUGGGCGAAAGCCUGACGGAGCAACGCCGCGUGAGUGAUGAAGGUCUUCGGAUCGUAAAACUCUGUUAUUAGGGAAGAACAAAUGUGUAAGUAACUAUGCACGUCUUGACGGUACCUAAUCAGAAAGCCACGGCUAACUACGUG
This 497-nucleotide ribosomal RNA is filed under the name uncultured bacterium. RNAcentral's name for it is "partial 16S ribosomal RNA". It matches the Rfam family "Bacterial small subunit ribosomal RNA", at positions 28 to 507 of the family's 1533-position model. The record is from RNAcentral.